Molecule: ribosomal RNA, 453 nt
Filed under: uncultured Psychrilyobacter sp.
Lineage: Bacteria; Fusobacteriati; Fusobacteriota; Fusobacteriia; Fusobacteriales; Fusobacteriaceae
Description: bacterial SSU rRNA
Rfam family: Bacterial small subunit ribosomal RNA
Source: RNAcentral
CGGUGGCGGACGGGUGAGUAACGCGUAAAGAAUUUACCCUUCAGACUGGGACAACUAAUCGAAAGGUUAGCUAAUACCGGAUAUUAUGAGACCUUGGCAUCAAGGACUUAUGAAAGCUAUAUGCGCUGGAGGAGAACUUUGCGUUCCAUUAGCUAGUUGGUAGGGUAAUGGCCUACCAAGGCAACGAUGGAUAGCCGGCCUGAGAGGGUGAACGGCCACAAGGGGACUGAGACACGGCCCUUACUCCUACGGGAGGCAGCAGUGGGGAAUAUUGGACAAUGGACCAAAAGUCUGAUCCAGCAAUUCUGUGUGCACGAUGAAGGUCUUCGGAUUGUAAAGUGCUUUCAGGUGGGAAGAAGAAAGUGACGGUACCACCAGAAGAAGCGACGGCUAAAUACGUGCCAGCAGCCGCGGUAAUACGUAUGUCGCAAGCGUUAUCCGGAAUUAUUGGGC